This is an RNA transcript of Solanum verrucosum, 2564 nucleotides long. RefSeq lists it as uncharacterized. The record is from RefSeq and is a predicted model, not a curated record. The transcript has a single exon. NCBI's taxonomy places the organism in Eukaryota, Viridiplantae, Streptophyta, Magnoliopsida, Solanales, Solanaceae.
AGUUUGCUUAUUAUUGUAACUUGAUUGGUGCAGGAUGUUCGCCUUUCAUGAUUUUGCAUCAGAGACUUUGAUUUUGAUUUUGCACAAAAUGUUACUUCCUUGCUGCUGAUCAUAAGUUGGGAGUAAUAUUUGAUUGCUAAUGGAUCGUAAGGAUACUUCAGGAUUCGUUAGUGGGGGUGGGAUGUGUUCUUGUAGACACAUCUAACCCUAGUUUACAACUAACUUUUCUUAAGCCCGGAAGUCAGGUUGACUGUUCUUUUUCAAUUGAGAUUUGGUUCAAAUAGAAGUUUUUAUAACAGCUAUUAGUUUAUGGAUCCCAGAUUCCGUUAUGUGGGGUUUACUGUGAACCCUCAGUUAAGUGCAUUCAAGAAUCUGGGCAAAUCCAUCGCAGUUGGUGAAGCUGGAGUUGGAGGUAGUUAUUGUGCUGAUACCACCUUACGGCUUGAUUCAAUUGGCUCUUCAGUUCCGUCCAUCCCUGCCCCAAAAGGAAUCAAACGAAAAUGGAGUUCAAUUGGUGGAUCUAACGAUCAGCCAAUUGGUUCAUCUUUGUCUCUACGUUUAGGACAUUCAUCAAGUUCCUCGGAUAGCAAGGGGAGCUCAGGCGCUGCAUGCACUUCAAUGUCUUCAGCAAGAGAAAAUGAUGAAGAGUCCUCGAUGGACCUGGACUUGGACUUUAGUCUCCAUCUUGGUAGUGAGAAGACUUCAAGCUCUAGAAAGUCUGCUCACCCUGAGGCCAAAAAACUUGCCAAAGGGCUUGCAGUUGAUCUGGAACUUAGUCUCUCUAGUGGUGCUGCUGAAUCUGAUGUCACUACUGUGCAUUUGCUCUCCACUUCACCACAAAGUAUCAUGAAGGCACCGCAGGCGAUGGCUGGAGCUUUUCACACUGAUGAAGUAUCAACAGCUAUACAUUGGAAGACUAGCAACAUUUUCCAUCCAUUACGAACUCCACAGGAAACUGAGGCUAGUUACUUAUUGAACCAGGCUGCAACACAAAUCAAGCUAGCUACAGUCUCCCCCGAUCUGUCGUCAAGUAUAAUCACAAAUUCAAAGAGCUCAGUCACCUGUACUUCCGGGUUAACAAACCAGCAGCAGCGUAGCAGUAGUACUAAACUGUGUCAGUUUAAGGGAUGCGUAAAAGGAGCAAGAGGUGCUUCUGGGCUUUGCAUUGCCCACGGUGGGGGCCGCAGGUGUCAGAAACCAGGCUGCCACAAGGGAGCCGAGGGUCGGACUGCAUUUUGCAAAGCCCAUGGGGGUGGUCGUCGGUGUGAAUUCCUAGGUUGUACAAAGAGCGCGGAAGGACGCACCGACUUUUGCAUUGCACAUGGGGGUGGACGUCGUUGCAGUCAAGAAGGAUGCAGCCGCGCUGCCAGAGGGAAGUCUGGAUUAUGCAUUCGGCAUGGUGGGGGGAAGAGAUGCCAGCAUGAGGGCUGCACCAAAAGUGCAGAAGGACUCUCUGGCCUUUGCAUUUCACAUGGAGGUGGCCGGCGCUGUCAGUACCCCCAAUGCACUAAAGGAGCCCAAGGAAGUACCAUGUUUUGCAAGGCACACGGUGGUGGUAAGCGUUGUACCUUUGAAGGGUGCACUAAGGGGCAGAGGGGAGCACAGCUUUCUGUAAGGGUCAUGGUGGUGGGAAGAGAUGUUCAUUCCAAGGAAAUGGGCUCUGCCCGAAGAGUGUUCAUGGGGGGACACUCUUCUGCGUGGCCCAUGGUGGUGGCAAGAGGUGUGCUGUGUCAGAGUGUACCAGGAGUGCAAGGGGAAGAACUGAUUUUUGUGUACGCCAUGGUGGUGGAAAAAGAUGCAAAGUUGAAGGCUGUGGGAAAAGUGCUCAGGGAAGCACCGAUUUCUGCAAAGCCCAUGGUGGAGGGAAGAGAUGCUCUUGGGGUCAGCCUGAUUCUGAAUUUGGCCAAGGUGAUGGUCUCUGUAACUCAUUUGCCAGAGGGAAGACUGGACUUUGUGCAUCUCAUGGUGCUCUCGUUCAAGACAAAUGCGUCCAUGGUGGUGCCACUCUUGGGACUAUGGUCCUGGAUCUAGAGCCAAACCAGUCUGAGAAAAUGAAGGAGAUUGUCAAUGCGGAAGACAUCUGUUUUGAUGUCACGAAAAUGCAGAGUAUUGGUAUGACAUCUGGCGAUGACCAUCACAUGAAAUAUCUUGGAUUUAACCAACCCAAUAUUCCAGUCGCAGGCAGCUCAUCAUCAGUUUCUGAAGGAAGGGUGCACGGAGGAGGUUUGAUGGCAUUGCUAGCAGGUGGUUCUGGCCGUACCUCAAACAACAGCAAGGAACCAGUUCCUGCAUCUGAGCCAGGGAGUUCUUUCAUAGUCUCUAAGAACUGGAUGUAAGAUGUAUCACUCUAUUUCUCAAUUUGGUUUGCAGGCCUGCAGCGCUCCACCGCUAUGUUUGUGUCCUUUUCAUUUUAGUUUCUUCACUCUUUCUUAUGUUAUAUGGGUUUGAACUGGAACUUGUACUGCUAAAUGUAUCUGUAUCAAUAAGGGGAGAAACCCCACUAGGGUCAUUGGUAUUUGUACAUAGCUUUUUUUUCAUGUAACAUUUGGUCUUGUGAAUAUUUC